CUCACGAAAGCUCUUGUUGGAACAGCUCACGAAAGAUCUUGCUUUAAGAGCUCACGAAAGCUCUGACUGGAACGGCUCACGAAAGCUCUUGUUGGAACAGCUCACGAAAGCUCAUGUUGAUGGUUAGCAGGCAAAUUGGAACAGGUGUCUCACACCUUGAACAAGAAGAGAAAGGACAGAGUAAAAUAAAUACCUCAGGCUAUCAGUGGCAAAAUCUGUAUCGACAUGGACUCGGCAGACCUGUCACUUCCUCGUCUUUCUGUCAUCGUAGCCUACUACUCCGCAAAUAAUAAACAAGAUAAAUUUUGGUAGCCGCCGUGAUUGGUACAAAGGCUCAUUUAAAAUUCACCCUCUAGAUCUGGAUGUGACUGUAGGUUUUCAUCAGAAAAUCGUAUUGCGAUCAUUGAGGCGUGUUAAGAGCGACAGGAUUCACGUGAAGGCUACUGUUAUGCAAGUUGGAGAAUACAGAGGUAAACUGCGGCGUAGUCUUGUCAACAUUGUAUGGCCUCCCCCCUACUCCUUGUUGAUGAGUCUGCCUGUCUAUGGAUUGAUGUCAAUGACUACUUUACAACUGAUGAACAAGACAAGAAGUUCUCAAAUAUUGAAUCAUUUCAGUCAGCUGAAGCGGGACUGAAAAGAACGAAUCAGGAAUUAGAAAUUUAUGGCCUACCUAUCGGUAGUCCGGAAAUUAUACUUCUGUCGUUAAAAGCAGUGAAAUAUUAGGACAGAAAACUGUGGUUAA
This is an RNA transcript of Macrobrachium nipponense, 742 nucleotides long. RefSeq lists it as uncharacterized. The transcript has 4 exons. The record is from RefSeq and is a predicted model, not a curated record. NCBI's taxonomy places the organism in Eukaryota, Metazoa, Arthropoda, Malacostraca, Decapoda, Palaemonidae.